GGUAAAUCUGCUAGCGACAGCAACGCUCCCCUGCGGGGUGACAUCGUGUGCAUAAACCCUAUUCGAAAAAUCCCAAUACUCGCGUAGCUCUGAAAAAAAAAAAAAAAAAGGCAAAAAAGCCCUAGACCUGACGCAUUCUAUCGGCAACCGGGAGUGUGCCCGGCAUCAGGCCACUUGGGACACGCUUUCACGGCGCAGAUAAUUCGUCUGUCAAAAAGAGGCCGGACAACAAAGUGUUUUUAAGCGUGUGUGUGUGUGUGAAGUGUUAUCGUCGGCCGGUGCGGCAGCCUCCCCUCUCCGACCGACAACAAACUUCUCUUUGAGGAGCCGACGACGACAACGGGCCUUUCGUCUUUCCAAAGAGGAGGAGGGGGAGAUACAGCUGUUGCUAAGCGUCCGUCUGUGCACGUGCUGCUCACAUGCCAUCUAAGACUGCUGUAUUAUUCCGACUUUUCUCCGGUCGCUGUCAAGUCCGGAAAAAUGCAACGAGGCACUCACGUCUUCCCUGACACGCCCAUCAGCAUCCCAAAACUGGAGAAAAUAUUGCAAUGUGAAGACAACUUGAGAACAACUCACGUGAGCUAUCCUUCCUGCCAUGGCUGCAAACUCUCGGACGAUAACGUUAACGACAUCCCCGAGCUGAAAAGGGAGGUUCUUUAUAACUCACGUU
Long non-coding RNA from Ornithodoros turicata, 670 nucleotides. RefSeq lists it as uncharacterized. The record is from RefSeq and is a predicted model, not a curated record. The transcript has 3 exons. Lineage: Eukaryota; Metazoa; Arthropoda; Arachnida; Ixodida; Argasidae.